Molecule: ribosomal RNA, 301 nt
Filed under: uncultured Pyrobaculum sp.
Lineage: Archaea; Thermoproteati; Thermoproteota; Thermoprotei; Thermoproteales; Thermoproteaceae
Description: bacterial SSU rRNA
Rfam family: Bacterial small subunit ribosomal RNA
Source: RNAcentral
CCUGAACAACGUACCAGCAGCGGGGAGUAUUCGGAUUGGGGAAGCGUUGGCCGGAAUUAAUUGUCGGAAAGCGCGGUCAGGCAGUCCAGUAAGUCUUAGGUGAAAGCCCACGGCUCAAACGGGGAGGGUCAUUGGAAACUGGGGGACUAGAGUGCAGAAGAGGAAAGCGGAAUUCCAUGUGUAGCGGUGAAAUGCGUAGAGAUGUGGAGGAACACCAGUGGCGAAGGCGGCUUUCUGGUCUGUAACUGACGCUGAGGCGCGAAAGCGUGGGGAGCAAACAGGAUUAGAUACCUUAGUAGUC